GUUUUUUGCGUAAUAAUAAUAUGGCGGUACUCACAGUUGCGGUGUUGCGGCGUGCGGCCGGCUUGUGAUUGUGUGUCGCUUGGCGCUGCACCGUCGUUUUAUGCGCACGCGCUCCCGCACGCCGCGUCCACAGGAUGUAAACAAAUAACACAACUAACUACAUAACUACAAGCACUUUCGCGCUUAACGGAAAAAUCUAAGCAACUGCGCGUGCACAACUGCUUGAAAAAUGGGAAGGGUGGUAAACGGAAGAAGUAAUUAACAUCACGCUUGAUGUGAACAACAUACGCGCUAUAAUUACAAGGAUUCAUGUAAAACUGGAUAGUCAAUUAUUUAAAACAAUAAUAUGCACAAUUCCCUGUAGGUAUUUACACAACAACUCAUUUUAAGGCAGUCAACAUAGUACUUCUAAUUUGGGG
Spodoptera frugiperda (fall armyworm) is the source of this 419-nucleotide long non-coding RNA. RefSeq lists it as uncharacterized. The record is from RefSeq and is a predicted model, not a curated record. The transcript is spliced from 3 exons. Lineage: Eukaryota; Metazoa; Arthropoda; Insecta; Lepidoptera; Noctuidae.